Molecule: ribosomal RNA, 505 nt
Filed under: uncultured bacterium
Lineage: Bacteria
Description: partial 16S ribosomal RNA
Rfam family: Bacterial small subunit ribosomal RNA
Source: RNAcentral
GACGAACGCUGGCGGCGUGCCUAAUACAUGCAAGUAGAACGCACAGUUUAUACCGUAGCUUGCUACACCAUACACUGUGAGUUGCGAACGGGUGAGUAACGCGUAGGUAACCUGCCUGGUAGCGGGGGAUAACUAUUGGAAACGAUAGCUAAUACCGCAUAAUAUUAAUUAUUGCAUGAUAAUUGAUUGAAAGAUGCAAUUGCAUCACUACCAGAUGGACCUGCGUUGUAUUAGCUAGUAGGUGAGGUAACGGCUCACCUAGGCGACGAUACAUAGCCGACCUGAGAGGGUGAUCGGCCACACUGGGACUGAGACACGGCCCAGACUCCUACGGGAGGCAGCAGUAGGGAAUCUUCGGCAAUGGACGAAAGUCUGACCGAGCAACGCCGCGUGAGUGAAGAAGGUUUUCGGAUCGUAAAGCUCUGUUGUAAGAGAAGAACGGGUGUGAGAGCGGAAAGUUCACACUGUGACGGUAUCUUGCCAGAAAGGGACGGCUAACUACGUG